Molecule: ribosomal RNA, 451 nt
Filed under: uncultured bacterium
Lineage: Bacteria
Description: bacterial SSU rRNA
Rfam family: Bacterial small subunit ribosomal RNA
Source: RNAcentral
GUGGGGAAUUGUUCGCAAUGGGCGCAAGCCUGACGACGCAACGCCGCGUGGAGGACGAAGAUCUUCGGGUCGUAAACUCCUGUCGAGCGGGACGAACGAACUGCGGGGAAAUACCCCGUGGAAGUGACGGUACCGCUAAAGGAAGCCCCGGCUAACUCCGUGCCAGCAGCCGCGGUAAUACGGGGGGGGCAAGCGUUGUUCGGAAUUACUGGGCGUAAAGGGCUCGUAGGCGGCCGACUAAGUCAGACGUGAAAUCCCUCGGCUUAACCGGGGAACUGCGUCUGAUACUGGUUGGCUUGAAUUCGGGAGAGGGAUGCGGAAUUCCAGGUGUAGCGGUGAAAUGCGUAGAUAUCUGGAGGAACACCGGUGGCGAAGGCGGCAUCCUGGACCGGCAUUGACGCUGAGGAGCGAAAGCCAGGGGAGCAAACGGGAUUAGAAACCCUAGUAGUCC